This 797-nucleotide long non-coding RNA is filed under the name Pongo abelii (Sumatran orangutan). RNAcentral's name for it is "lincRNA". The record is from RNAcentral. Lineage: Eukaryota; Metazoa; Chordata; Mammalia; Primates; Hominidae.
AACACCUUAGGCUGGUGGGGCUGCGGCGAGAAGCGGGUCUGUUUCUUUACUUCCUCCACGGAGUCGGCACACUACGGCUGCCCUCUGGGCUCCCAGAACCCACAACAUGAAAGCUUGGAAAGGAAUAUGCUGCACUUUACAACCACUGCACUACCUGACUCAGGAAUCGGCUCUGGAAGGUGAAGCUAGAGGAACGAGACCUCAUCAACCCAACACCAAAGACACCAUCGGAACAGCAGCGCCCGCAGCACCCACCCCCCACCGGCAACUCCAUCUUCAUGGCCACCCCCUGCGGCGGACGGUUGACCACCAGCCACCACGUCAUCCCAGAGCUGAGCUCCUCCAGCGGGAUGACCCCGUCCCCACCACCUCCCUCUUCUUCUUUUUCAUCCUUCUGUCUCUUUGUUUCUGAGCUUUCCUGUCUUUCCUUUUUCUGAGAGAUUCAAAGCCUCCACGACUCUGUUUCCCCCGUCCCUUCUGAAUUUAAUUUGCACUAAGUCAUUUGCACUGGUUGGAGUUGUGGAGACGGCCUUGAGUCUCGGUGUGAGUGUGCGUGAGUGUGAGCCACCUUGGCAAGUGCCCGCCCAGAGACCGGCCGCCCUCCAUCUGGGCCGGGUGACUGGGCGCCGGCUGUGUGCCCGAGGCCUCACCCUGCCCUCGCCUAGUCUGGAAGCUCCGACCGACAUCACGGAGCAGCCUUCAAGCAUUCCAUUACGCCCCAUCUCGCUCUGUGCCCCUCCCCACCAGGGCUUCAGCAGGAGCCCUGGACUCAUCAUCAAUAAACACUGUUACAGCAA